UGAGGAAUAUUGGUCAAUGGGGCGAGAGCCUGAACCAGCCAAGUCGCGUGAGGGAAGACGGUCCUAUGGAUUGUAAACCUCUUUUGCCGGGGAGCAAAGAGCGGCACGUGUGCCGCGCCGAGAGUACCCGGAGAAAAAGCAUCGGCUAACUCCGUGCC
Molecule: ribosomal RNA, 158 nt
Filed under: uncultured bacterium
Lineage: Bacteria
Description: partial 16S ribosomal RNA
Rfam family: Bacterial small subunit ribosomal RNA
Source: RNAcentral